ACACUCCCUCGAAAAACUACCCGCUGCUCCGAUCCAGUGUCCACGAUUGGUCGCCGGAAAGGCGGGGCCUGGAGUAGGCGGAAAGCUUUCUUUUGGUUUGGCACGCCCCUUACCAGCUUCUGCGCAUGCCUCCUGCUACUAGGCAACCGUUCAGCGUUUUAGUGCACGUGAUUGGCUUCCCCAACCCCAGGCUGGAAGAUCGUGCAAAAGACAGGUAGUUCCGCUGGGCUCUCUGCGUACUUCCGAACCACGGAGUCCAAGGAAGGCUCGAACUGGAGACUAGGUCUCCAAAGCACAAAAUGUCAGAGUUGGAAGAGACCACCUGGGCUAAACCCCUUAUUUUACAGACGGAAACUGAAGGUCGGUGAAGAAAAUGACUUGCCUAAGGUGAAGAAAACGAAGCCUAAAGAGGACAAAUGACGACUGACUUACUGAGGUUACAUAUUUAGUAGCAGAUUGUGGAUUUAAGGAACACCACCUUUCCUGUCCUACAGAAGAAACCACUCCUGCCCCAGGGUCCUGUCCAAGGCACAGAUCCACCACCUACUUCCCUAGAACCCUCAGACAGAGAUUCCACACGAAAAAGUAUUGGCAAAUUUGCUUUAUUAGGGAAUGAGUUGCCCCUGUUCCAUAGCCCCCAGGCCAUUCAUAGUUCAUAACAUAAAAACAUACACGCAGGCCUGUUGGUUUCAUGAACAAAAAGGGAUUGUGUACCAUGACUAUGGUAGACUAUAUUCUUCCAAACCCCAAAUUCCAGAAAUACAGUCUUAACAAAGUAUAUUCCUUCAGCUAAGCUUUGUUAAAAAUGUAUUUUCUUGUCUUGAAAUGAGGACUGUUCCAGACAAUACAGGUCAUAUUGUUGAACUAA
This is a long non-coding RNA of Vombatus ursinus (common wombat), 868 nucleotides long. RefSeq lists it as uncharacterized. The record is from RefSeq and is a predicted model, not a curated record. The transcript is spliced from 2 exons. Lineage: Eukaryota; Metazoa; Chordata; Mammalia; Diprotodontia; Vombatidae.